UACGGAGGGUGCGAGCGUUGUCCGGAAUCAUUGGGCGUAAAGGGCGCGUAGGUGGCCAGGUCAGCUGUGAAAACUCGAGGCUCAACCUCGAGACGUCGGUUGAAACCGUACGGCUAGAGUCCGGAAGAGGAGAGUGGAAUUCCCGGUGUAGCGGUGAAAUGCGUAGAUAUCGGAAGGAACAUCAGUGGCGAAAGCGGCUUCCUGGACCAGCACCGACGUUCAGGCACGAAAGCGUGGGGAGCAAACAGG
Molecule: ribosomal RNA, 249 nt
Filed under: uncultured bacterium
Lineage: Bacteria
Description: partial 16S ribosomal RNA
Rfam family: Bacterial small subunit ribosomal RNA
Source: RNAcentral